RNAcentral lists this ribosomal RNA (499 nucleotides) under uncultured bacterium. RNAcentral's name for it is "partial 16S ribosomal RNA". It matches the Rfam family "Bacterial small subunit ribosomal RNA", at positions 899 to 1397 of the family's 1533-position model. The record is from RNAcentral.
ACUCAAAUGAAUAGACGGGGGCCCGCACAAGCGGUGGAUCAUGUGGUUUAAUUCGAAGCAACGCGAAGAACCUUACCUGGGUUUGACAUCUCCGGACAAACGUAGAGAUACGUCUUUUGUAGCAAUACAACCGGAUGACAGGUGCUGCAUGGCUGUCGUCAGCUCGUGUGGUGACAUGUUGGGUUAAGUCCCGCAACGAGCGCAACCCUUGUCUUUAGUUGCCAGCAUUAAGUUGGGCUCUCUAAAGAGACUGCCGUGGUUAACACGGAGGAAGGUGGGGAUGACGUCAAGUCCUCAUGGCCUUUAUAUCCAGGGCGACACACGUGAUACAAUGGACGGUACAGAGGGAAGCCAAACCGCGAGGUGGAGCCAAUCUCAAAAAGCCGUUCUCAGUUCGGAUUGGAGUCUGCAAUUCGACUCCAUGAAGUUGGAAUCGCUAGUAAUCGCGGAUCAGCACGCCGCGGUGAAUACGUUCCCGGGCCUUGUACACACCGCCCGU